UAAGCCUGCGAAGGUGGCCUGUGAGGGUUGCUGGAGGUAUCAGAAGUGCGAAUGCUGACAUAAGUAACGAUAAAGCGGGUGAAAAGCCCGCUCGCCGGAAGACCAAGGGUUCCUGUCCAACGUUAAUCGGGGCAGGGUGAGUCGACCCCUAAGGCGAGGCCGAAAGGCGUAGUCGAUGGGAAACGGGUUAAUAUUCCCGUACUUGGUGUUACUGCGAAGGGGGGACGGAGAAGGCUAUGUUGGCCGGGCGACGGUUGUCCCGGUUUAAGCGUGUAGGUGUGUGUUCCAGGUAAAUC
RNAcentral lists this ribosomal RNA (296 nucleotides) under Salmonella enterica. RNAcentral describes it as "partial 23S ribosomal RNA". It matches the Rfam family "Bacterial large subunit ribosomal RNA", at positions 1243 to 1542 of the family's 2925-position model. The record is from RNAcentral. Lineage: Bacteria; Pseudomonadati; Pseudomonadota; Gammaproteobacteria; Enterobacterales; Enterobacteriaceae. RNAcentral also lists the same sequence under 3 other names.